RNAcentral lists this ribosomal RNA (242 nucleotides) under uncultured bacterium. RNAcentral describes it as "partial 16S ribosomal RNA". It matches the Rfam family "Bacterial small subunit ribosomal RNA", at positions 63 to 334 of the family's 1533-position model. The record is from RNAcentral.
CGCACGGUCAGCAAUGGCAGUGGCGGACGGGUGAGUAACACGUAGGAAUCUAUCCUGGGUGGGGGACAACAGCGGGAAACUGCUGCUAAUACCGCAUGAUACCUGAGGGUCAAAGGCGCAAGUCGCCUUGGGAGGAGCCUGCGUCUGAUUAGCUUGUUGGUGAGGUAAAGGCUCACCAAGGCGACGAUCAGUAGCUGGUCUGAGAGGAUGAUCAGCCACAUUGGGACUGAGACACGGCCCAA